This 429-nucleotide ribosomal RNA is filed under the name bacterium. RNAcentral describes it as "partial 16S ribosomal RNA". It matches the Rfam family "Bacterial small subunit ribosomal RNA", at positions 355 to 776 of the family's 1533-position model. The record is from RNAcentral.
UAGGGAAUCUUCGGCAAUGGGGGCAACCCUGACCGAGCAACGCCGCGUGAGUGAAGAAGGUUUUCGGAUCGUAAAGCUCUGUUGUAAGAGAAGAACGUGUGUGAGAGUGGAAAGUUCACACAGUGACGGUAACUUACCAGAAAGGGACGGCUAACUACGUGCCAGCAGCCGGGGUAAUACGUAGGUCCCGAGCGUUGUCCGGAUUUAUUGGGCGUAAAGCGAGCGCAGGCGGUUUAAUAAGUCUGAAGUUAAAGGCAGUGGCUUAACCAUUGUUCGCUUUGGAAACUGUUAAACUUGAGUGCAGAAGGGGAGAGUGGAAUUCCAUGUGUAGCGGUGAAAUGCGUAGAUAUAUGGAGGAACACCGGUGGCGAAAGCGGCUCUCUGGUCUGUAACUGACGCUGAGGCUCGAAAGCGUGGGGAGCAAACAGG